UUAUACUGGAAGAUAAAGUGAAGAACUUUUACACUCGCCUGCCAUUCCAAAAACUGAUGGGGAUAUCCAUUAGAAAUAAAGUGCCCAUGUCGGAAAAAUCUAUUUCUAAUGGGUUCUUUGAAUGUGAACGACAGUGUGAUGCGGACCCAUGCUGCACUGGCUUUGGAUUUCUAAAUGUUUCCCAGUUAAAAGGAGGAGAGGUGACAUGUCUCACUCUGAGCAGCUUGGGAAUUCAGAUGUGCAGUGAGGAGAAUGGAGGAGCCUGGCGCAUUUUGGACUGUGGCUCUCCUGACAUUGAAGUCCACACCUAUCCCUUCGGAUGGUACCAGAAGCCCAUUGCUCAAAAUAAUGCUCCCAGUUUUUGCCCUUCGGUUGUUCUGCCUUCCCUCACAGAGAAAGAUUCACAUAUAUCUGGCCAAACGAACAACUCCAUGUUUUCCAAAAGGCUUGGAGAACAUACCGGGUGCCGCCUCUCCUCUUUCCCUUUGUGUUUGUCAUUUUGGCGAAUUACUGGAAGAUGGUGGUUCCAGUCGAAAGCCUUUUUGGCCAUUUUUAACAGCUGAAAAUAAACCUUGAAAUAAACAUUUUCUCCUUUAACUGAUGUCUGGGAAGGAAGAAAGAAAAAAAGAGAAGAAAGGAAAUAAAGAAGGAAGGAGGGAGGGAGAGAGUGAAGGAGGGA
RNAcentral lists this small RNA (679 nucleotides) under Pongo abelii (Sumatran orangutan). Its description in RNAcentral is "processed transcript". Lineage: Eukaryota; Metazoa; Chordata; Mammalia; Primates; Hominidae. The record is from RNAcentral.